RNAcentral lists this long non-coding RNA (228 nucleotides) under Capsicum annuum. RNAcentral describes it as "long non-coding RNA (CANN_LNC017169)". Lineage: Eukaryota; Viridiplantae; Streptophyta; Magnoliopsida; Solanales; Solanaceae. The record is from RNAcentral.
GACUUACCAAUUCUCUUAGAUAGCACAUAAGAAUAUCGGCAACACAACCCCUUGGUGUUAUGUUUAAGUUUGCAUUUUUCUCUUUCAGCAUUACCUCCCCUUGGUGUAAGUCUCAAUCGAACCACAGCCUACCAAAACUUAUCUUGAAAGCUAAGGGAUGACUUUGCUAUGCACUCACGUGGGUUUGUAACCCAGGAAGAAUUUCCAUCAUUAGUAAACACUCCACCC